ACGGCCGGGCUGCGGCGCUGCGGGGAGGACGGCGGGAGCGCGGCCGGGGGCUGCGGGAAGGGGCUCCAGCGCGGAACUCAGCGCAGCCUCCGGGCGGGGAGGAACGGGCUGGAGCCCGGCCUGCACUAGGAAAGGACCUGGAGCCAAGAGGCCGUUACGGCAGUGUGCGAGGAGGAGAAGGACCCCAAGCCCAGAGCCCAGCAGGUGAGCAGGAAGGGGGCUGGAGCCCAUUGCUGCCCGUGGUGAGGAGGAAAAAGACCCGAGGCCGGAGCCCAGCGCUGCCUUAAGACAAAAAGGAAGGGGCCUGGAGCCUGGAGCCCAUCACAGCAAGGAGAAGAAGGACCUCGAGCCCAGAGCGCAUCACUGCCCUUGGAUGGGGAGGAAGGGGGCCUGGAGCCCAUCGCUGCUUGCUGGCAAAGAGGAAGAGGGCUGGAGCCCAGUGCUGCUCAUAGGCAAGCAGGAGAGGGGCUGUUCCUAUCGCUGCCUGUGGCUGAGGAGCAGGGAGACCUGGAGCCCGGAACCUGUCGCUGCUUGUGGGUGAGGAGGGGCUGUGCCCAUCGCUGCCCUCCCAAACUGAUCCUGUCGGAGCAGAGAUGCAGACAGCAGCGUGCAGCAGAAGAUCCCACGGGACAGCGGUGCCGGCACCUCCCGCCCCUCCGCGUGGGCAGCACAGCAGUGCAGCAACGCCGUGUGUGCACAGCAAAGAGCUGAACCCCGGCUCAGCAGUGAGCUGCCGUGGGAGCCGUGCUGUGCUCCAGGUCCUCCUGCAGGGACCCAAUGGGAAGAGCUGAGCCAAGUUUGGGCCCAAAAUCCCCCAAAGUAACAUCAGAACAUCACUACGUUACGUGACGUUAUUUUCCAUUCACAAACAACACACAAUCUGAUUUUUCCUUAGCUCAGAAAUGUAACUAAAAACCACGUUGGUGCACCGCUGUGAUGAGCAGAAGAGCUGUGAGAUCAGAGCUACGUGCACCAGACCCAAACCCUGCCCCACAGCUGCCCCAUAGACCCCCUGUAUGGCAACACACACCCUGCUCUAUAUGCUCCCAUACCCUA
Long non-coding RNA from Phasianus colchicus (ring-necked pheasant), 1056 nucleotides. RefSeq lists it as uncharacterized. The record is from RefSeq and is a predicted model, not a curated record. Lineage: Eukaryota; Metazoa; Chordata; Aves; Galliformes; Phasianidae.